This 253-nucleotide ribosomal RNA is filed under the name uncultured bacterium. RNAcentral's name for it is "partial 16S ribosomal RNA". It matches the Rfam family "Bacterial small subunit ribosomal RNA", at positions 524 to 776 of the family's 1533-position model. The record is from RNAcentral.
UACGUAGGGGGCAAGCGUUGUCCGGAUUUAUUGGGCGUAAAGAGCGUGUAGGCGGUCUGGUAGGUCCGUUGUGAAAACUCGAGGCUCAACCUCGAGACGCCGAUGGAAACCAUCAGACUAGAGUCCGGAAGAGGAGAGUGGAAUUCCUGGUGUAGCGGUGAAAUGCGCAGAUAUCAGGAAGAACACCCGUGGCGAAGGCGGCUCUCUGGGACGGUACUGACGCUGAGACGCGAAAGCGUGGGGAGCGAACAGG